RNAcentral lists this ribosomal RNA (666 nucleotides) under Triticum aestivum (bread wheat). Its description in RNAcentral is "partial small subunit ribosomal RNA". The record is from RNAcentral. Lineage: Eukaryota; Viridiplantae; Streptophyta; Magnoliopsida; Poales; Poaceae.
AUGGAUCCUCAUCCGCUUGCUAAUAUUUUUAAGAGAUCCAAUUAUGAUGAACCAAUUGCUAGUGAGUUUUCUGCACUAGAUUAUCUUUAUGAAGCUUUGUUCAAAAUUUGUGAAUCUGAAAAUUAUGAUGAAGAAAUUUAUGAAGAGAUUCAUGAUAACUCCUUGAAUAAAAAGCAUGAUUGCAAUGAUUUUCCUAUAAAUUCUAUUGAUGUCAAUUGUGCUAAUAAUAUGCAAAACCCUAAGCUUGGGGAUGCUAGUUUUGCUAUGUCUACUACUUGUUUCAAUGAUCAUGAUUGGGGUGAUUCUUCUUAUAAACUUGAAAAUUUAUUUAAGCCCCAUGAUGAAUAUGAGAUUGAUAAUAGUGUUUGCAAUAAUAUUGAAAGUGGGUUUGGAAGAGUGUCAACUUUAGAUCCCACUUAUUUGGAGUAUGUUCAAUCUUAUGAUAUUUUUGAUAAAGGUUGGUUCGGAAAGGUCGUGACUUUAGUUAAUGUUAAUCCCACUAUCUUGGAAGAGUGUCAACUUUGCAUGCAUGUGGAUCAUGUUGAGAAUAUUUUUUGUGAUAGCUAUUUUUUGAAUUUUCCUAUGAUCCUACAUGUAAUUAUUAUGAAAGAGGAAAAUAUGGUCGUAGAAAUUUUUAUCUUAUUAAAUUACCUCUCGUCAUGUUGA